UACGGGGGGGGCAAGCGUUGUUCGGAAUUACUGGGCGUAAAGGGCUCGUAGGCGGCCAACUAAGUCGGAUGUGAAAUCCCCAGGCUUAACCUGGGAACUGCAUCCGAUACUGGAUGGCUUGAAUCCGGGAGAGGGAUGCAGAAUUCCAGGUGUAGCGGUGAAAUGCGUAGAUAUCUGGAGGAAUACCGGUGGCGAAGGCGGCAUCCUGGACCGGCAUUGACGCUGAGGAGCGAAAGCCAGGGAGCAAACGGG
RNAcentral lists this ribosomal RNA (252 nucleotides) under uncultured bacterium. RNAcentral describes it as "partial 16S ribosomal RNA". It matches the Rfam family "Bacterial small subunit ribosomal RNA", at positions 524 to 776 of the family's 1533-position model. The record is from RNAcentral.